AAAUGAACGAAUCUCUUGAAAGAAUCAUAAUUUCCACCACACCAGCGUGUGAGCAGGACUUUUAUCUUGGCGUGGUGAUGUGACGUCAUGAGGAUGCUCCGCGCUCCUGCAUCUGCUGUGAUUCAACUCAAGAAAGGUUUUGUUUUAAAGCGUUUAACGUGUAGAAACUGUUAAACUUGAAAGUUUUACGAGCGAUACAGGGUUUUAUUAACUGCAACAUAUUAAUGUUUUAUUUGAAAGUGAUUUGUGUGAGUAAAGCGCAUCGAUCCACACGCGAGUAACGUAAACACAAAAGAACAGAAACAGUUCCACGUGACACGCUUAUAAAGAUGGCGUUUGUUAAAGAGCAGAGUGAAGACAUCAAGAUUGAAGAAGUCUUCAGUCUGAAACAAGAUCCUGAGGAAAAGCCAGAACUCCCUCUGUGAUUGGACAGUCAUCUCAGGUUUCCAGUGAGCAAGGCUGCCCGACCG
Molecule: long non-coding RNA, 470 nt
Organism: Carassius auratus (goldfish)
Lineage: Eukaryota; Metazoa; Chordata; Actinopteri; Cypriniformes; Cyprinidae
Exons: 3
Source: RefSeq, a predicted model, not a curated record